Molecule: ribosomal RNA, 770 nt
Filed under: Massilia suwonensis
Lineage: Bacteria; Pseudomonadati; Pseudomonadota; Betaproteobacteria; Burkholderiales; Oxalobacteraceae
Description: bacterial SSU rRNA
Rfam family: Bacterial small subunit ribosomal RNA
Source: RNAcentral
GCAACCUGGCGGCGAGUGGCGAACGGGUGAGUAAUAUAUCGGAACGUACCCAAGAGUGGGGGAUAACGUAGCGAAAGUUACGCUAAUACCGCAUACGAUCUAAGGAUGAAAGUGGGGGAUCGCAAGACCUCAUGCUCCUGGAGCGGCCGAUAUCUGAUUAGCUAGUUGGUGAGGUAAAGGCUCACCAAGGCGACGAUCAGUAGCUGGUCUGAGAGGACGACCAGCCACACUGGAACUGAGACACGGUCCAGACUCCUACGGGAGGCAGCAGUGGGGAAUUUUGGACAAUGGGCGCAAGCCUGAUCCAGCAAUGCCGCGUGAGUGAAGAAGGCCUUCGGGUUGUAAAGCUCUUUUGUCAGGGAAGAAACGGUAGAGGCUAAUAUCCUUUGCUAAUGACGGUACCUGAAGAAUAAGCACCGGCUAACUACGUGCCAGCAGCCGCGGUAAUACGUAGGGUGCAAGCGUUAAUCGGAAUUACUGGGCGUAAAGCGUGCGCAGGCGGUUUUGUAAGUCUGUCGUGAAAGCCCCGGGCUCAACCUGGGAAUUGCGAUGGAGACUGCAAGGCUUGAAUCUGGCAGAGGGGGGUAGAAUUCCACGUGUAGCAGUGAAAUGCGUAGAGAUGUGGAGGAACACCGAUGGCGAAGGCAGCCCCCUGGGUCAAGAUUGACGCUCAUGCACGAAAGCGUGGGGAGCAAACAGGAUUAGAUACCCUGGUAGUCCACGCCCUAAACGAUGUCUACUAGUUGUCGGGUUUUAAUUAACUUGGUAAC